GGGGGGUUGACAGAGUGGACUAUCGUGCCUGAUUUAGGAUCAGGUGCCCUGUAGCCGCAGGGCCGCACGUUCGAAUCGUGUACCCCCCGCCA
RNAcentral lists this transfer RNA (92 nucleotides) under Dehalococcoidia bacterium. RNAcentral's name for it is "tRNA-Leu". It matches the Rfam family "tRNA". From Rfam's summary of the family: Transfer RNA (tRNA) molecules are approximately 80 nucleotides in length. Their secondary structure includes four short double-helical elements and three loops (D, anti-codon, and T loops). Further hydrogen bonds mediate the characteristic L-shaped molecular structure. tRNAs have two regions of fundamental functional importance: the anti-codon, which is responsible for specific mRNA codon recognition, and the 3' end, to which the tRNAs corresponding amino acid is attached (by aminoacyl-tRNA synthetases). tRNAs cope with the degeneracy of the genetic code in two manners: having more than one tRNA (with a specific anti-codon) for a particular amino acid; and 'wobble' base-pairing, i.e. permitting non-standard base-pairing at the 3rd anti-codon position. The record is from RNAcentral. Lineage: Bacteria; Bacillati; Chloroflexota; Dehalococcoidia.